UACGUGAGGGGCGAACGUUGUUCGGUGUCACUGGGCUUAAAGGGCGCGUAGGUGGUUGCGUAAGUAACGUGUGAAAUCCCUCGGCUUACCCGGGGAAUUGCACGUUAUACUGCGUGACUUGAGGAUCAGAGGGGAAUGGGGAACUCCAGGUGUAGCGGUGAAAUGCGCAGAUAUCUGGGGGAAGGCCGGCGGCGAAGGCGCCAUUCUGGCUGAUUCCUGACACUGAGGCGCGAAAGCGUGGGGAGCAAACAGG
This 253-nucleotide ribosomal RNA is filed under the name uncultured bacterium. RNAcentral describes it as "partial 16S ribosomal RNA". It matches the Rfam family "Bacterial small subunit ribosomal RNA", at positions 524 to 776 of the family's 1533-position model. The record is from RNAcentral.